This is a long non-coding RNA of Theobroma cacao (cacao), 2335 nucleotides long. RefSeq lists it as uncharacterized. The record is from RefSeq and is a predicted model, not a curated record. NCBI's taxonomy places the organism in Eukaryota, Viridiplantae, Streptophyta, Magnoliopsida, Malvales, Malvaceae.
AGAGAGAGAGAGAGAGAGAGAGAGUUGUAAGGAUAAGUGUAAAGGGUUUUAGGUGGGGUUGGGGUUUAUCAGUUGGUUGGAAAAUGAUGAAAAGGCUUUUUUGGGUCUUUGGGGGAGUGAUUAAAGAAAACCCUAAUUCUUUGUCCUACUCAUAGUCAUAUAUACCUACUUAAAAUGGGUAUCCAGAAAAAGGGUUGUUGAGAAAUCUUUAUAUUUGUAUAUAAAAGAUGAUUUCAGAUCUGUCGGUUGAGUUUCAUAGGAGGGGUGAUCUGUAUGAAGCAGCAGUUGGGUGGCGGUUUGGUUUUUCCCAUUUAAUCUAGGAUUUCACUUUUUUGUUUCCAUUUCUGGUCCAUUUUCAGACAGUUAAACUAAAGAUGGUAAAGAUCAUGUGUAUGGGAAUUGGUGGGGGAAAGAGUGGAUGAUAAUUCGGGAUAAGAAGAGGAAGAGGGACACAGAGAGACUGACAGAAGAGAGUGAGCACACGCAGGCAAUUGUAUGAAAAGCCAUGCCUUUGCGGGUGCGUGCUCACUUCUCUUCUGUCAGCUUCGGCUUUUGCAUUGUGUUUCCUCACAAUGUUUGUUAUUUAUAUGUCCCCCUCUUUAUCUUCUUCUUUCUCUAUCUCACUCAAUCUCCAGAGAUGACGCCUCGAGUGUCUAUUUUUCCAGAUGUUUUUGUUUUCAUCCAUCCACAUGUCCUUCUCCCUUGUUCUUCGGAUAAGAAUGAGUCACUGGUCAAAAAACAAGUACACGGGGAAAGAAGGGUCAGAGAGAUAGAGAUGACACAUCAAAAAAGCAGGCUUUUUUUUUGUUCAACUAUAUCAUGAAAUAAGUCUUUUCUUCUUUCUCAGCCAACGAAACCCUCUUAAACCCUUUCUUUUGCUUUAGACAGAGAUUGAAAUCCCCCAUUUUUAUGUGUGUGAGACAAGUCAUAAGAUAAGGGAGUUAGCAAAGAGAAGGAGUACUGUUGUUGUUGUUGUAUGGCAAAGAGAUAAAGAGGCAAGUAAGCGUGAACAUAAGCUCUUUUCCUUUUUUGGGGUUAUCAUUUAUCAACUAUUAAGUUUGAGGUAUUAAUUGCUAAAUUUUGCUGAUCUUUUUGGGAAUAUUUUUAUAUUAAAAUAACAAUAGUUUUGAGCUUUGAAAGAAGCGUGACUUUUGAUGCCUCUCCCUUUUGAGGAGGACGAAGUGGCUUCUUUGAAGGUACGCCUGGUUACUGUUCUCAUUUUAACGGAAAACUGUAUCGGUAUCUUGGAAUUUUUAUGUUCAUUCACGUAAUCAGCUUUUAUUUUCUUUGCUUUGGUUAAAACCCUCUUCCUCUUCACCUUCCUGUUUUCUUGGAAACCAUGCAAGGAAAUGGCCAUGUCUGGCUUGUGUUCUUUACCCUCAAUCUGGCUCUGAUUUGGGGUUUUCGCCAUCUGGUGUUCUGCGUUUUGACCCCAAACGAGAGUCCAAGAAGUCAAGUCAACAAAAGGGUUUUGGAUCUGGUAGUAUUGGCUGCUUUCUUUUCAGUUACUGAAAAACUAUGGGUCACUCUACUCCUUGUGGUAGAAAUUGGAAGACAUCUUUUUCUUAUUUUCUGCAAAAAUAUGCGAUAUUUCCUAUUCAUUAUUGAAGGCUUGGCAGCUGGAAAGUUCCUAAUGCAGGUUACUUUGAUUCAGUCAGUGGAUUUUUCUCUAAUAAUCACUUUGUUUGGCAUUGGGUUUGGGAGGCAGCAAACUGUGUUUCUGAUUUGCACAGGUUAAUCAUUCAGAAUCAUAUCGGAUCGAAGGAAAUGUUCAGAUAUGGAUUCCAGUAGCUUGCAAUUCACAUGGUUCAUCCUUGAAAAUUUAAAAGGGAAUGUGGAAUUUCGGAUGGACCAAAAACUUUCUAAAGGCGGUACUAACAUUUCUUCGAGGAGGCAUUUAAAAUGAAGUGAUGUUGGGAAGGCAUUUCAUAUCCCUGAAAAGUUUGCUACAAGGUACCACUUACCACCCUAAGCUGGGGAUGCAACUAGAAGCAACAUGUUGAUUUUGGCGAUAAGUUCAUAAUUCAAAUAGCAGCAAAAAUUAUGGGUUCACGAAAGGUGGGAAGCUGUCUGUUAGGGAGAAGAAAUUGAAGCUAGGAGGUGUGGAGGGAACAUGUUCAUCAUGAUUGAUACUUCUGUAACUCUUAACAUUGUUUGACUAAAAAAAAUUCACUAUUUACUAUUUUUCGUUUUAAUUAUGUACAAUGAAUAUACCUCAACGAGAACGAGAAGAACAGUUAUAUCUUGCCGACAGCAGCGAGCAGUGAAUAUGUCAAAAACUUGGAUCUUUGCUAGAAUUUUGUUUGCCUUCCUAAUUUGAUUGUUGCUUGCUUCA